GACAGAGGGUGCAAACGUUGUUCGGAAUUACUGGGGCGUAAAGCGAGUGUAGGCGGUCUCCUAAGUCGGGUGUGAAAGCCCCGGGCUCAACCCGGGAAGUGCACUCGAAACUGGGAGGCUAGAGUAUCGGAGAGGUUGGUGGAAUUCUCGGUGUAGAGGUGAAAUUCGUAGAUAUCGAGAGGAACACCGGUGGCGAAGGCGGCCACCUGGACGGUAACUGACGCUGAGACGCGAAAGCGUGGGUAGCAAACAGG
This 254-nucleotide ribosomal RNA is filed under the name uncultured bacterium. Its description in RNAcentral is "partial 16S ribosomal RNA". It matches the Rfam family "Bacterial small subunit ribosomal RNA", at positions 524 to 776 of the family's 1533-position model. The record is from RNAcentral.